UUUCUCAAAGAAAAAAUUGUGAACAGGCUGUCAGACGCGUUUACAUUUUUGGAAUAUUUAUAAUUUUAUAAGUGAUCCUAUUAAUCUAAACAAUAAUGAGCAACGGCGGCAGUGCUGGGGGGCUGGGCGGCACCCGUCCUCCACCACGCAUCGAUGGCAUGGUGUCACUGAAGGUCGACAAUCUCACAUAUCGCACGACUCCAGAGGACUUGCGUCGCGUCUUUGAGCGUUGCGGAGAAGUCGGUGAUAUUUACAUACCGCGCGACCGCUACACACGUGAGAGCCGAGGCUUUGCUUUCGUGCGGUUCUAUGACAAACGUGAUGCUGAGGACGCACUGGAGGCAAUGGAUGGUCGCAUGUUAGAUGGCAGGGAGCUCCGUGUCCAGAUGGCUCGUUAUGGCCGUCCCUCGUCGCCCACUCGUAGCAACGGUCGUCGCGGCGGAGGGUCUGGUGGUGGUGGCGGAGGAGGUGGUGCUGGCGGUGGAGGUGGUGGUGGAGGCGGUCGUCGUCGCUCGCGUUCCCGUUCACCUAUACGCCGCCGUUCGCGUAGUCCACGUCGUCGCUCUUACUCGCCGCGGUCGCGCUCUCAGUCGGCGGCCAGCCAUUCGCCUGAGCGUCGCACCAAGUUCUCGCGCAGUCCAGUGCGCGGCGAAAGUCGUAAUGGGAUCGGAGCAUCCGCCUUAGCUGUUGGAGCCUCCAGAAGUCGUAGUCGCUCUUAAUUAUCCACGUUCCAAUUGGUGCGAGUUUUUUACUCGCUCAAAAGACAGAGAUCCCGAUCAUGGAUCUUGCUCUACAUCCUGUCAUGCUGUACCAGAACAGCAGGCAAAUUGGUGUGUGGCAGUGUUGCGGUUGAAAGAUAAUGUUAUGGUUAUUGCGAGGGAGGAGAGGAGAGAUCAGAUCAGAUCAGCAGAGAGGCAUCAGAGCAUCUUCUUCUUCCCCCGUCCAGCGCUAGCAGAGACAACACGACACGAGAGCGGACAUCGCGUAGCUGUUGCUGUUGCUGCUGCCGUUGCCGUUGGCGUUUCCUGUCAGCCGCUGUCGCCGCCCCGCCUCCGCUGCUGCUACCGCUGUUGCUGUUGCUGCUGCUGCACUCGAGAUCCAGAGCAGAGUGGGAGAAAAAGGGAUAUAUAGACUAUUUCUUUGGCUGUUUGCCGUUUCCCGGUUCCGGUUUCCUGUUACUUCACUUCUCUCGUCCCGUCGUUUGUUGCUGGUUGCUGGUUGGCGUUGUUGGUGUUUUCCUGUCUGGUGUUGCCGCUUGGCGUUUGGUGGGCGUCCAUUUUAAGUUUAGGCGAAAACAUUUCCAGCAAAACUACCACGGUAUCGCAAUGGACUCUGCAAAUACAGGAAUCCCUAAACCACCUGUGGCCUGGACUUCUCGGAUCUCGUAGAUCAGCGCGGUAAGUGCCUAACAUAACGAAAACUAAUAUUUAAACUUGCAGCUU
Drosophila miranda is the source of this 1442-nucleotide RNA transcript. It is a transcript of the gene named serine/arginine-rich splicing factor 2, with no coding region annotated. The record is from RefSeq and is a predicted model, not a curated record. NCBI's taxonomy places the organism in Eukaryota, Metazoa, Arthropoda, Insecta, Diptera, Drosophilidae. The transcript is spliced from 5 exons.